UACGAAGGGUGCGAGCGUUGUUCGGAAUUACUGGGCGUAAAGGGUUCGUAGGCGGGAGCUUAAGUCAAGUGUGAAAUCCCCGAGCUUAACUUGGGACGUGCAUUUGAAACUGAGUUUCUUGAGUAUUGGAGAGGGUGGUGGAAUUGUUGGUGUAGGAGUGACAUCCGUAGAGAUCAGCAGGAACAUCAGAUGCGAAGGCGACCACCUGGCCGAUUACUGACGCUGAGGAACGAAAGCGUGGGGAGCAAACAGG
RNAcentral lists this ribosomal RNA (253 nucleotides) under uncultured bacterium. RNAcentral describes it as "partial 16S ribosomal RNA". It matches the Rfam family "Bacterial small subunit ribosomal RNA", at positions 524 to 776 of the family's 1533-position model. The record is from RNAcentral.